UUUCAUUUCCUCAAAGUGAUCUAACGAAAUGAUUUAUUGGCAUGAACUGUUAGCAAUGUCUACGGUUCGAAUAGCGCUAGCAUGCGAAUGUUUGUUUGAUAUAUUUUUAGACAGCGUCAGAGCUAGUGCUCCUAUCUCGUUGAUCGGUCAGUAAACACAAAAAUCUUUCUCAGUCUGGUUAGUUAGCUCGUGGCUUGUCCUUGUCGGUUGAAACGUUCUGAUAAUUGAUCACGGUAUUGCCAAUUUUAACUUUCAUUACCUAAAACGUUUUCAGGUAGCGUGAAAUGUGCAAGAUAUUGAUGUCUUCAAUUUGUGAGUCCACAUAUCUGAGGCUUCGGAAAUGGAUCGGAAAGUGAGAGCACAGGCACAAAGCCUUUGUCGACUGCGUGGCAGACAGCGCUCAGUGCCACAGCGAUGAGUGUGGCUGCUGCAGCCGCAGCCACAGCUGCAACCAACCAGACCGCCGCGACGCCGGUCGCUGCCCGCAGGCCGGUGCGGCGUGCCACUAAGCCGCAAGCUGAUCGGCCGCAGCGGGCAUUGCUCUGUCUCACACUCAAAAAUCCGCUGCGAAAACUCUGCAUAGACGUUGUCGAAUGGAAGUAUCCUUUUCAAAUAAUCAAUUGAUAGUAACUAAUACAACUUUGGAUCAAAAUUUGGAUAAAUUAUUUGUUCCAAUCAUUAAAUUGGAAUUCAUUGAUUAAUAGCAAUGAGAAAAUCAUAAUUGAUUUUCUGAAAAGUAUGUGGGAGUUUUCGGUGAUCUCAUGUGUUUAUUGAAUUCAACCAACCAUGGAAUGAAAUCUAUCAAAUACUACUUUUCUUUUCAAUCACAACAAUUUGAAUCAAUGAGAAAAUCAUAAUUGAUUUUCUGAAAAGUAUGUGGGAGUUUUCGGUGAUCUCAUGUGUUUAUUGAAUUCAACCAACCAUGGAAUGAAAUCUAUCAAAUACUACUUUUCUUUUCAAUCACAACAAUUUGAAUCAAGGAACUACAGGUAUCUUUUUGUUGGUUCUGAUAAAUGUUCGUAGAGUUCAUCAAGAAAUUGCUAUUCCUGGAUAGAAUUCUUGUGAAAGUCCAGAAACUUUAUACAGUGUAAAUUAUCCAGCCAUUAUUAUAACUUCAAAUUAUUAUAAUAACAAAUCUUUAUAGGCCUGGAUUUUGAAUUUAUAGUCUCGGAGGCUGAUAUGUGAGUUUGAAAAACAUCAAGCAGGUUUGCUGUCGUAGAAAACUACAAUUGCACAAGUUGCACAAGAAUACAGUUGAAUUCAAGCGCCGUGAAAUCACGUCUCUACAUUAGCAUCAAAUUCUUUAAUUGCUUCCCGUUACAUUGGCUCCAUUACAAUCGAUGACAUAUUUUUUAGGCGGUUAAAUGUGAUUGGAUUCACGUGCAACUUGCCGUUUCUCUCUUUAUACACUCUAAUCUUUCUUUUCUGGAUAUGACGCCGUAUGGCUUGUUCUUGGAUAAGAAAUGUGAUGAAUCUGGAAGAUAAAUGGUUUUGAAUUACCUUAAAAUGAUUUUGGAGUUUGCAACUGUCCAGUAUUGGUAGCAAUAACCACCAUAGACUGCUCUAGACAAUUAUUUGUCUAUU
RNAcentral lists this unclassified non-coding RNA (1584 nucleotides) under Nilaparvata lugens (brown planthopper). Its description in RNAcentral is "voltage-dependent L-type calcium channel subunit alpha-1D-like, transcript variant X2". The record is from RNAcentral. Lineage: Eukaryota; Metazoa; Arthropoda; Insecta; Hemiptera; Delphacidae.